Molecule: ribosomal RNA, 433 nt
Filed under: uncultured bacterium
Lineage: Bacteria
Description: partial 16S ribosomal RNA
Rfam family: Bacterial small subunit ribosomal RNA
Source: RNAcentral
AAUGAACGCUGGCGGCAUGCCUAACACAUGCAAGUCGAACGAAGGCUUCGGCCUUAGUGGCGCACGGGUGCGUAACGCGUGGGAAUCUGCCCUUGGGUUCGGAAUAACAGUUAGAAAUGACUGCUAAUACCGGAUGAUGUCGUAAGACCAAAGAUUUAUCGCCCAAGGAUGAGCCCGCGUAGGAUUAGCUAGUUGGUGGGGUAAAGGCCUACCAAGGCGACGAUCCUUAGCUGGUCUGAGAGGAUGAUCAGCCACACUGGGACUGAGACACGGCCCAGACUCCUACGGGAGGCAGCAGUGGGGAAUAUUGGACAAUGGGCGAAAGCCUGAUCCAGCAAUGCCGCGUGAGUGAUGAAGGCCUUAGAGUUGUAAAGCUCUUUUACCCGGGAUGAUAAUGACAGUACCGGGAGAAUAAGCUCCGGCUAACUUCGUG